UACGAAGGGUGCAAGCGUUGCUCGGAAUUAUUGGGCGUAAAGCGCACGUAGGCGGCGUCGCAAGUCACAUGUGAAAGCCCACGGCUUAACCGUGGAAGUGCAUGGGAAACUGCAGAGCUUGAGUACUUAAGAGGAUCGCGGAAUUCCCGGUGUAGAGGUGAAAUUCGUAGAUAUUCGGAAGAACACCAGUGGCGAAGGCGGCUCACUGGACUGGUACUGACGCUGAGGUGCGAAAGCGUGGGGAGCAAACAGG
This 253-nucleotide ribosomal RNA is filed under the name uncultured bacterium. RNAcentral describes it as "partial 16S ribosomal RNA". It matches the Rfam family "Bacterial small subunit ribosomal RNA", at positions 524 to 776 of the family's 1533-position model. The record is from RNAcentral.